RNAcentral lists this non-coding RNA (148 nucleotides) under Homo sapiens (human). Lineage: Eukaryota; Metazoa; Chordata; Mammalia; Primates; Hominidae. The record is from Rfam by way of RNAcentral.
GCUAGGUGUGGUGAUGCAUGCCUGCAGUCCCAGCUACUUGGGAAGCUGAGGCAGGAGAAUCACUUGCACCCAGGAGGUGGAAGUUGCAGUGAGUGGAGAUCGCACCACUGCAUUCCAGCCUGGGUGACAGAGUGAGACUCUGUCUCAA